CCAACCAGACUGAGACAAUUGCAGGACCCAAAGUAGAAGUGGGUGACACUGGGGUGACAGCUCACCUGCAGAGAACGUGAGCUGUAUCUGCUCCUCGAUGAUCUCCAGCGCAAUGAAGUCGUGCUUCUCAUUGAAACGCCCGUUGUAGAGGAGGAGGGCGUUCCUUUCCCUGGUGGCAAACCUGGAACGCAGAGACCAGUAAUCAGGUAAUGCUCCCAGAAACGCAAGACUUUGACUCCUUCUUUAGACAGAAAAUUAUACAAUUAAGUAAGAGAGAGGUCAAAUACUUUAUUUCACAAUCAACAGAGGCAGCAUGAUGGAAAUUAGGGGAAUCUCUGCAGAGAUCUGCUGUGGAUGCUGGCCCUAACAAAAGGUAAAAUGAUGCAGAGGCACAGCUCAGGGAAACCGUGUGAUGCUCUAUUACGCUCCUGUCUGUAAAGCUGUUCACAGAAAUUGGAGAUGGCUUGUAGAGACGAAUUUUACUCGAAGUACAGAACAGUGCCUGGGCUUAUUUAGAAACACGGCCGUGGUGGCUUUAUUACGUAGCCACCUGAGCAAGCACUUAUUUGAAGCACUGCUUUGAUCAGAAGCACCCAAUCCAUUUUGGCACCACAACACCCCCUUCGCGCAGCUCUGCAUCUUGUCACUCCCAAGGGCGGCCGCCUCGCCCCAGCCACAUCUCCAUCCCACAGCACUGUCCUACGGGAGUGCUGAGGCCUGCAAAACACACAAAAAUUGAAGUGAAUCCUGCGUGUACUCAAAGGAAGAGCUGGUUGCUGGCUGACGUGCAGAAGCCGAAGUUGGAAGCCCCUAAGGGAAGAGCUCAUGAAGGAGCCGGAACGGAAGGGAUGUCCAUCAGGCACAGCACCCGCAUUCAGGAUGAAGAAUGAGGAGCCUGUGCGCCCGCUCCAGCUGAAGGUCAGAGGGCUGAGCCUGCAGAGGAAUUUCGGCAUGGUUGGAGGCGAUGUCUCGCAGUCCGGUGGGAAAAAAUAGUACAGAGAGGAAGGCGAGCUGCUGCAGGGGGCUGCAGGGGAUCAGGUGAGAAGAGCACAGCCCAGAAGGACACCACAGGCAGCCUGGGGAUGGUUUGUGAAGCUGGAGAUGUCGGCGUGGCUCACCCUGCCACCCAGGCUGCCCUCCGCACCUCACCAUGUUUCCUUCGUUAAUAUAAGUUUGUUUUUUUUCCACAUUGGCCGACUUUUUAGAAAUCGCCUAAAAACUACUUAGACAUCACAACUCGGUGAAAUCCACACAGGAAACAUCAAGCUUAGUCCCUCCAGCUGCUAAAUCCAGAGCAUGUGCUGUCAGAUAACAUGGGCCGUGUCUGCCGGUUAUCUGCUGGGCAGAUUCCUGGGCUGUGAAAAGCUGCUGGACCAAGCCCACAUGUGGUUUACUGUUACAGGAUAGUGGCUGAUCUUAUAUUCUCCCCAUUAAUAUUGAUGACUCUUAAAGAUACACAUCCUGUGGCUUUACAUGGCCCUUUAUGUCAUGUUUCCCAGUUUUAAAGCCCUUGAGAUUACGAUAGCUGCGCUUUUGACACUGAUUCCUCCUCUAAAUUGUACUGCCUUUCAUAUGCCUCUUCUUCAGUUUUAGGAUUAACUUUACAAAGAUGUUAAUCAUAACAUUUCUCACAGGAAUUAUAUGUAAGUGAGGGCACCAUGGUAUCAGGCAUAAUACAACAAGAACAGGCAAAGAAAAGAUUGGCUAGAAAAUGGCUUCAUUUGGUUCCUCUCUGACACAUAGUCCAAAUAAAGUAAUGGAAUAGUUUGAUGAAUGAGCAAUAAAUGAUGAUAAACAAGUGGAAAGAAAUAAAAGUAAGCUACUUCAAGUAUGAAAUCAUAAUCUUAUAAUUGCAAAUACAUUGUGAGCUGAACAUUAUGCACACCAACAGCACACUUACAUGCACUGGAGUCGUCUUUCCAGAAACCCGCCUGUGGUUUUGUUGGUGAGUUGCUUGAUGACCUUACAAUGACAGACAGUGCAUAAUGUUGGGAAACUUGCUGGAAACAAUGUGAUGGCAUUGGAAUAAACACAGAGUUAUUCUACUCUUUGCUUUACUGCAAUAUCCCUGUUUAAGGACUAAUCCUCAAAACUUUGUACAAUUCUCUGAUGGUCUUCAGGUGGUACACUACGUUAAAU
RNAcentral lists this long non-coding RNA (2139 nucleotides) under Anas platyrhynchos (mallard). RNAcentral describes it as "lncRNA (ENSAPLG00020015848.1)". Lineage: Eukaryota; Metazoa; Chordata; Aves; Anseriformes; Anatidae. The record is from RNAcentral.